RNAcentral lists this ribosomal RNA (1348 nucleotides) under uncultured bacterium. Its description in RNAcentral is "bacterial SSU rRNA". It matches the Rfam family "Bacterial small subunit ribosomal RNA", at positions 13 to 1381 of the family's 1533-position model. The record is from RNAcentral.
UUGAUCCUGGCUCAGGACGAACGCUGGCGGCACGCUUAACACAUGCAAGUCGAACGAGAGAAGAGAAGCUUGCUUUUCUGAUCUAGUGGCGGACGGGUGAGUAACACGUGAGCAAUCUGCCUUUCAGAGGGGGAUACCGAUUGGAAACGAUCGUUAAUACCGCAUAACAUAAUUGAACCGCAUGAUUUGAUUAUCAAAGAUUUAUCGCUGAAAGAUGAGCUCGCGUCUGAUUAGCUAGUUGGUAAGGUAACGGCUUACCAAGGCGACGAUCAGUAGCCGGACUGAGAGGUUGAUCGGCCACAUUGGGACUGAGACACGGCCCAGACUCCUACGGGAGGCAGCAGUGGGGAAUAUUGCACAAUGGAGGAAACUCUGAUGCAGCGAUGCCGCGUGAGGGAAGAAGGUUUUAGGAUUGUAAACCUCUGUCUUCAGGGACGAAAAAAGACGGUACCUGAGGAGGAAGCUCCGGCUAACUACGUGCCAGCAGCCGCGGUAAUACGUAGGGAGCGAGCGUUGUCCGGAAUUACUGGGUGUAAAGGGAGCGUAGGCGGGAUCGCAAGUCAGAUGUGAAAACUAUGGGCUUAACCCAUAAACUGCAUUUGAAACUGUGGUUCUUGAGUGAAGUAGAGGUAAGCGGAAUUCCUAGUGUAGCGGUGAAAUGCGUAGAUAUUAGGAGGAACAUCAGUGGCGAAGGCGGCUUACUGGGCUUUAACUGACGCUGAGGCUCGAAAGCGUGGGGAGCAAACAGGAUUAGAUACCCUGGUAGUCCACGCCGUAAACGAUGAUUACUAGGUGUGGGGGGACUGACCCCUUCCGUGCCGCAGCAAACGCAAUAAGUAAUCCACCUGGGGAGUACGACCGCAAGGUUGAAACUCAAAGGAAUUGACGGGGACCCGCACAAGCAGUGGAGUAUGUGGAUUAAUUCGAAGCAACGCGAAGAACCUUACCAGGUCUUGACAUCGUAUGCAUAGCUCAGAGAUGAGUGAAAUCUCUUCGGAGACAUAUAGACAGGUGGUGCAUGGUUGUCGUCAGCUCGUGUCGUGAGAUGUUGGGUUAAGUCCCGCAACGAGCGCAACCCUUACUGUUAGUUGCUACGCAAGAGCACUCUAGCAGGACUGCCGUUGACAAAACGGAGGAAGGUGGGGAUGACGUCAAAUCAUCAUGCCCUUUAUGACCUGGGCCUCACACGUACUACAAUGGCUGUCAACAGAGGGAAGCAAAGCCGCGAGGUGGAGCAAACCCCUAAAAGCAGUCUUAGUUCGGAUUGUAGGCUGCAACCCGCCUACAUGAAGUCGGAAUUGCUAGUAAUCGCAGAUCAGCAUGCUGCGGUGAAUACGUUCCCGGGCCU